GCCGCGUGAGUGAUGAAGGUUUUCGGAUCGUAAAGCUCUGUUGUUAGGGAAGAACAAGUACCGUUCGAAUAGGGCGGUACCUUGACGGUACCUAACCAGAAAGCCACGGCUAACUACGUGCCAGCAGCCGCGGUAAUACGUAGGUGGCAAGCGUUGUCCGGAAUUAUUGGGCGUAAAGGGCUCGCAGGCGGUUUCUUAAGUCUGAUGUGAAAGCCCCCGGCUCAACCGGGGAGGGUCAUUGGAAACUGGGGAACUUGAGUGCAGAAGAGGAGAGUGGAAUUCCACGUGUAGCGGUGAAAUGCGUAGAGAUGUGGAGGAACACCAGUGGCGAAGGCGACUCUCUGGUCUGUAACUGACGCUGAGGAGCGAAAGCGUGGGGAGCGAACAGGAUUAGAUACCCUGGUAGUCCACGCCGUAAACGAUGAGUGCUAAGUGUUAGGGGGUUUCCGCCCCUUANUGCUGCAGCUUAACGCAUUAAGCACUCCGCCUGGGGAGUACGGUCGCAAGACUGAAACUCAAANGAAUUGACGGGGGCCCCGCACAAGCGGUGGAGCAUGUGGUUUAAUUCNAAACAACGCGAANAACCUUACCAGGUCUUGACAUCCUCUGANAAUCCUAAAGAUAGGACGUCCCCUUNCGGGGGCCAAA
This 648-nucleotide ribosomal RNA is filed under the name Bacillus subtilis. RNAcentral's name for it is "bacterial SSU rRNA". It matches the Rfam family "Bacterial small subunit ribosomal RNA", at positions 396 to 1030 of the family's 1533-position model. Lineage: Bacteria; Bacillati; Bacillota; Bacilli; Caryophanales; Bacillaceae. The record is from RNAcentral.